GGGGUUGUGGCUCAGCGGUAGAAUGCUCACCUAGCAUGUGAGAGGCCCUGGAUUCAAUCCUCAGCACCACA
Molecule: transfer RNA, 71 nt
Filed under: Marmota monax (woodchuck)
Lineage: Eukaryota; Metazoa; Chordata; Mammalia; Rodentia; Sciuridae
Description: tRNA.Ala
Source: RNAcentral